This 594-nucleotide ribosomal RNA is filed under the name uncultured kinetoplastid. Its description in RNAcentral is "bacterial SSU rRNA". It matches the Rfam family "Eukaryotic small subunit ribosomal RNA", at positions 615 to 991 of the family's 1831-position model. The record is from RNAcentral. Lineage: Eukaryota; Euglenozoa; Kinetoplastea.
GCUGUUAAGGGUUCGUAGUUGAACUGAGGGCUGCCGAGGAACUUGCGUCUGCGUCCAACCCGCUUGAAUGGCGUUGCGACCGGUCGCUCUUGGGGCUCGUGAACAAACGGCUACAAUGCCGCGAACAAAGACCACGGAAUCGACGCACCGCUGUGUGCUUUUCUCUUCCAAAACAAUCGCAUGCAACGCAUGCCAUGGGGGGGACGUCCGUGAUUUUUUACUGUGACUAAAAAAGCGUGCCAAAGCAGUCAUUCGACUUGAAUUUCAAAGCAUGGGAUAACAAAGAAGCAACCUACGGUCUACCGUUUCGGCUUUUGUUGGUUUUAAAGGUCUGUGGGAGAUUAUGGGUUUGUAUUGCAAGCGGGUAGAGGGUCAGUCGAGAGCUCAAACUCUCCCUGAUACCUCACGCCUUCGGUUAGUGACAGCCUUCUCUACAAGAGAGUGGCGGCUUUCUCGACUUGCAGAUCCAGGAUGAAGGAGGGUUGUUCGGGGGAGAACGUACUUGAGCGUGAGAGGUGAAAUUCUUAGACCGCUCAAGACGGACUACAGCGAAGGCAUUCUUCAAGGAUACCUUCAUCAAUCAAGAACCAAGUG